UACGUAGGGUGCGAGCGUUAAUCGGAAUUACUGGGCGUAAAGCGCACGUAGGCGGGUCGUUAAGUCGGGGGUGAAAUCCUGGAGCUCAACUCCAGAACUGCCUUCGAUACUGGCGACCUAGAGUCCGGAAGAGGUGAGUGGAACUCCUAGUGUAGAGGUGGAAUUCGUAGAUAUUAGGAAGAACACCAGUGGCGAAGGCGGCUCACUGGUCCGGUACUGACGCUGAGGUGCGAAAGCGUGGGGAGCAAACAGG
This 253-nucleotide ribosomal RNA is filed under the name uncultured bacterium. RNAcentral's name for it is "partial 16S ribosomal RNA". It matches the Rfam family "Bacterial small subunit ribosomal RNA", at positions 524 to 776 of the family's 1533-position model. The record is from RNAcentral.